Coturnix japonica (Japanese quail) is the source of this 3660-nucleotide non-coding RNA. The record is from RefSeq and is a predicted model, not a curated record. Lineage: Eukaryota; Metazoa; Chordata; Aves; Galliformes; Phasianidae.
CCUAUGGGGGACAUGGAUGGGCAGGGCAAGCCAACAGGCUUUGAGUGCAGCCUUAGUUUUCUAAGGGAACGGCUUCAAUGGGGUGGUUUCUUGGUGCUCCCACCCCUCCCUGUUGGUACUUGGUUAGGCUCAGUGUGCUCCCAGAUAACAGCCCAAUUAUCAGAGGGGCAGAGCAGAUCCAGCUGUGCAGAUGUGGGGCUGGGGAUGUGCCAUGGAGGAGGGCACAGCCUGGGGGGGGCUUUGGGGCAGCCCCAUGGAUGGGAGACCCCACGGGUAGAACCUGACAGGUUGGAGGUGUUACCUGUGCUGUUACUGGUGCUGUUCCCAUCUGUUGGGAUCCCACCUGCAGGACAAGAGAAGGUGCCUGAGACAGCGGACAAGAGCCCGUGUAGGACAGACCCAUGUAGGACAAACCCAUGUAGGACAAAACCAUGUAGGACAGACCCAUAUGUAGGACAAACCCAUGUAGGACAAAACCAUGUAGGACAGACCCAUGUAGGACAAACCCAUGUAGGACAGACCCAUGUAGGACAGACCCAUGUAGGACAAACCCAUGUAGGACAAAACCAUGUAGGACAGACCCAUGUAGGACAAAACCAUGUAGGACAGACCCAUGUGGAGAAACCUUCAUAAUACAAAGCCUUGUAAGACAAGUCAAUGUAGAGCAAACCCAUGUAUGACAAGCCCAUGUGGACAAACCCAAAUGGGAUGACAUGUACUGUGCGUGCCCACCCCACAUAGGACAGCAUGCUUUGGAGCUUCAACCAGGACAUUGGAGUACAGAUCCCUUUACAUCCACCCCAUCUCCUGAAUUUCCUCUAGGUAAGCAGCUUUCUGGUUGACAUCCCACCCCAAAACCUGUCUUUGCUUCUAAACCUGGGGACCCCCAGCACCGCAAGCACCCCGGUUGCUUUUGCUGCAGCUGGGCAGGAAGCACAGCUCUGUUUAUUGCAUCGCUUCAGUGCCCACCUCCAUCUGCUCACUGCCAAACCCCACUGAUUCCUCACUGUGCACCCCACAGAACCUCCAAAGACAAAGUCCGUGUUACACUGGGUCCCCCAAAGCCACCCCAAGAGCCAUAGUGAAACCUGGUCACCCCAAAUCCAUGCAGGGCUCAGGCCGGCACCCAGCAGAUGCUCUGCAAGGGGAAGACCCCCAAGGAAAGACCCCCAGCCUGAAGAUGGGGUGGGAGCUGCUGCAGAGUUUGGGAGUGAGCAAAAGGGGGAGGAAGGGACAGGAGCCAUGUCCUGGGUUGUAAUGCUGGUUCUGCAGGGAUGGAAAGCCCAAACAAUUCCACCCUCAAAGCCUUUUUGCUGCUGUUUCUCCUCUCCUUGGUGCUCAAUCCUAUGGAGUAAAGGGAGGUGGCUUGGCUGUAGCUUUAGCAAUGUGUUGGCCUGAUUUCUUCCCAUACUCUGAGGGUCAUAAAUGGUGAAAAAUCCCACGUUUUUGUGCCCCUUAGCCAUGAAGGCUCCUAGCUGCCCCCCAGCUUCCGUUGCCACCCCUCCAUCACCCACGGGCUGCCUACAUGCACAACCACAAAGCUUAAAGCAGAUCCAUUUGGAUGCAGUUGGCUGGAUGGAAUCUCUUGGUGCACAGAGCACAGGGACGCGUGGCACCCUGUGCUCCUCACUGCUCCGACCCUCUGCAGCACAGAGCCCUCAUCGAUGCCUACCUGCAGCCACGGCCAUCAGCCAGAGGUUGGCCUGGAGCACCCAUAGCCUCGUGUAGAGAUCUCCCAUCUUCUCACUGCGGGCAGCAGGGCAGCAUCCAGGGCUGCACCUCACCCCUUGGCUCUGACUCAGCCCUGUGGUUCCCCAUCACUGUGGCACAGUGUAUCUCCAAGCACCAUGCUCUGUGAGUGAGCACUGGGCCAUAACUCCCUGCAAAAAGCACCUUGGGGUCCUUCUGUCAGCCAGGCUGGUCCCCAGAGCCCAGCUUUGCCUCCUGGGGGCCUCCCCAAACCCUCACCUCCUGCAGGUCGUUUCCUUUGUGUUUCUGAGCAUACGGCGCUGCUGGGAGCCAGCCUGUGUGCAAGGGAGCAGGAAUAAAGGUUACAUGAGAAACUGUGGCCUCAUGGGGGGAAAGAGAUGGUGGGAGAAGUGCCUCCUCCAUGCAGAGCAGCCCAGCAUUUGAUACAAGAACACAGCCACGGUGUCCCAGGAAGACAGAAGCAGUGGAGAUGCCCCCAGGGUGGGAUGAGCUGCGCUGUGAGCUGUGCAGAGCUGCUGCUGGGCAGCUGCACCCUUCCUCAGCCCAUUCCUAUUCAUGGUGGCUUGGGUUUCACUGCUGUCCUCCCCUGUUGUUGUGUGGGGAGAAGGAUGCUGGCUCAUGCCACCCCUCCCUGCAGCCCUCUGCCUGCGUGGGGACCCUGCUUGGAUUACACUGGCCCCUGCGUGAGUUGUUCCAGCAAAGACAAAAUAGCACUGAGGCCUUGCCAUGUCCCAUGGGGACCUCUGUGGGUCCUAGGGGUGACUCAGCCUUCACCACACACAGGUGCAGGAACAUCCUUCACCCCCUCCCUGUGAUGCUGAGCUGUUGCCGGGUAGCCAGUGGGGCAGGUUCAGCUUCGCCCACAGAUUCCAGUAUGAGGCAACUCAAAGCAGUCUGCACCUUUUCUUCACCAACCCUUCUCCUUGGCUGGAUCCAUGGCAGCAUCUCCUACAGCCCCUACAGGGUUAGGAGGAGGCACCCAGCAGAACCGUGGUCCCAUUCAUGUGAUGCUUUGGGAGUUGUGGGGGGGAUUUCAGUCCACAGCUGUUGGACAGUGCCAUAUUGAGGUCCUGGCAUGUCCAGAAGGUCCCCAAAUCUCCCUUCACCUUGGCUGGACCAACAGCUGCAUCUUCUAUGGGGCUGGCAGGAGGCACCCAGCAGCCCAUAGUUGCAUCCACAAGCAGUUCUGGGGUUGCUUUGGGGGUUUCAGCCCAUAGAUUCUGGACAGAUCCCCAUUGGGGUCCAGACCCAUCCAGGAGGUCUCUGGACCCCCAGGAGGGGGUGUUUAUAAGCCGAGGAGGUGAUUUCCCCCUCCCAGGUGUAUGGAAAGCACUUCCUCCUCUAACACACACCAACGCAUUCGGUAUCGUAAUAAGAGACCGUUCACGAUUGUUUAUUUUAAGAAAUGUACAAAGAAAAAAUGGCUUCAGCUGACACAAACUCUGCUCUUUGGCAUUUUCCCGUCACCGACGACAUGUACAUACAAGCAGCAUUCAUUGUGAACCUCAACCCGGGCUGGAAAGCACCCGGCCGAACGCAUGGGGACCCACCGAGCUCUAUGGGGUGCCACAGGGCAUCCGCAAUGGCUGGGAGCCAAAACCAGCCCGAGGAAAAAGAAAGAAUAAUAAUAAUUAAUAAUAAUUAUUAAUAAUUAAUAAUAAUAAAAAACAGGAAAAAAAAAAGGAAAAAAAAAAAAGACAGACCCUUUGGCUUCACGCAGCAGCCCUUAUUUUAAGUGGAAGAGGUUUUGGUUCGUGGUUGUUUUGACUUAUGGGGCCCCAUUGGAGCAACUCAAUGCAAAGACCAUUCCCCAGACCCCAGGGAUGCGUCCCAUUAACUAACACUAAUUUCCGCUCACUGUGGGGAUCAAAGUGCUUUUGUUACAGGGAAUCCCCAGCAGAGACCAUCUCUGCCCAUUGCUUUCCUGCCACGAAAUUUGGAUGGAACAGG